ACCUCCACCAACCGUAUCGGUGCCCAACGGGCUUGAUAGGGAAUGCGGUGCGGGCGUGCCCAAUGCCGCAGCUGCCCCUGCAACUGUAAGCGGCGAGCGAUCGGCCCGGUUGCCAUUGGAAGCGAUUCCGAGAAGGUGGGCCGAUCCGCGAUGACCCGCAAGCCAGGAGACCUGCCGAUAUGGGUCGCUCGUC
RNAcentral lists this non-coding RNA (193 nucleotides) under Sphingomonas sp. RNAcentral also lists the same sequence under 1 other name. The record is from RNAcentral. Lineage: Bacteria; Pseudomonadati; Pseudomonadota; Alphaproteobacteria; Sphingomonadales; Sphingomonadaceae.